UGUACAUAUUGUUGUCCAUCCAUAAAAUGUGGGACGUCAAAUAUCUCAAUCUUAAAUUCCAAGAAAUCUCAUCAUCUUUCCUGCCAACAGCAGAAGCCGCAGUUCAAACGGCAGGAGAAGCUCUUGCUCCGGCUUCAUAGCGUACGUGUGUGCCUGCCCGCUUCUCCGGAAAGAUUACAAAGUGCCGUUGUGU
Non-coding RNA from Caenorhabditis elegans, 193 nucleotides. NCBI's taxonomy places the organism in Eukaryota, Metazoa, Nematoda, Chromadorea, Rhabditida, Rhabditidae. The record is from Ensembl.